Xenopus tropicalis (tropical clawed frog) is the source of this 242-nucleotide long non-coding RNA. RefSeq lists it as uncharacterized. NCBI's taxonomy places the organism in Eukaryota, Metazoa, Chordata, Amphibia, Anura, Pipidae. The transcript is spliced from 3 exons. The record is from RefSeq and is a predicted model, not a curated record.
CUUGCCACAAGUCUCAUCACGCGAGACUAGCGUUGCCUCUGCCUGUAAUCGCAGCGAUCUCUCUGCCGCUCUGUGGGAGCCAUGCCUUCUUUACAAUGGACCUAGCCCGUGGAAGAAGCCUAUUUUUUGAAAUCGACAAAUGGGAGAAAUUUGAGAUACCCAGAGUAGUGUUCCAGUCAGCAGAAAUCAUUUGUGGAUUACAGUUUCUCCAUUCAAAAGAAAUCAUUCACUGGUCAGUAUUA